Ribosomal RNA from Danio rerio (zebrafish), 117 nucleotides. NCBI's taxonomy places the organism in Eukaryota, Metazoa, Chordata, Actinopteri, Cypriniformes, Danionidae. The record is from Ensembl.
UGCCACAGCCAUGUCACCCUGCAACCCAAGACCGGUUACUCACUGAAGCUAAGCAGGGCUGAGCCUGGUCAAUUCUUGGAUGGGAGACCACUAAGGAACAAUUGGUUGCUGUUGGAA